UACGUAGGGUGCGAGCGUUAAUCGGAAUUACUGGGCGUAAAGCGCGUGUAGGCGGCUUCGCAAGUCGGGUGUGAAAGCCCUGGGCUCAACCCAGGAAGUGCACUCGAUACUGCGGAGCUGGAGUCCCGGAGAGGAUAGCGGAAUUCUCGGUGUAGAGGUGAAAUUCGUAGAUAUCGAGAGGAACACCGGUGGCGAAGGCGGCUAUCUGGACGGUGACUGACGCUGAGACGCGAAAGCGUGGGGAGCAAACAGG
RNAcentral lists this ribosomal RNA (253 nucleotides) under uncultured bacterium. RNAcentral's name for it is "partial 16S ribosomal RNA". It matches the Rfam family "Bacterial small subunit ribosomal RNA", at positions 524 to 776 of the family's 1533-position model. The record is from RNAcentral.